This 114-nucleotide ribosomal RNA is filed under the name Salvator merianae (Argentine black and white tegu). Lineage: Eukaryota; Metazoa; Chordata; Lepidosauria; Squamata; Teiidae. The record is from RNAcentral.
GGAGAAACUCCUAGCUAACCUGGGGUGAUUUUAACACUUUAAAAAGCUAAGGAGAAUCAGCCCUGGUUAGUACUUGGAUGGGAGACCACCAGGAAUGCCCAGGGAUUUUUUUUA